CAAUUUCUUUCCGCGCCCAUUCUUCUUCUCUCUGGCAACGCGCAUCUCCUCUACCAAAACCGCAUUCAUCAGAAGCCACCACAGCAGAGAACCCUAAUUUUUUCGCUUAAGACUAGUGUGUUCUUCUCUCUAGCAACGCACGUCUCUAGGAAACCCCUAUCUGAAGAUGAUGCUCUUUGUAUUUCAAGUCCAAUCCUAGAAAAAUGCCACCAAUCGAAAGGCCUAGCAGAGGAGGAUUUCUCUUCCCAUCGUCUUUGUGUCGUACCUUGUCGUAGAUGCCCCCUGUCAUCAUUAAUCUUCAGUUCAAAGGCCAAACUGAAAUGCCAUUGCCAUUGUCUGAAAGAAAUCGUCCGAAUUGAUCGAAUCCCAACGUCAUCCUGUAGCAUCAGUUCAACAUUCUAAGACUCUAAGAGAUAAACCCUUUACCACAUCCUUUCUAUUUUGAUCGAAGUUAUGUUUAUUGCUUGAAUAAGUAGUUUGUUAGUUGUGUUCUUUUCGGUUUUAAAUUUUAGUACAAAAUUUUUUAAGCGAAGAACCCAUUUUUUUCUUUGUUUUACUUUUAUUGGUAAUGGACAAUUAAUUUCUCCAAAUCUUGAGUAUUUAGAUUAGGUUUAUUUAUUUAUUUUUUUUAUUUUUUGGUAAAAGAUUUUUUCGAUUGAUUGAUUUUUUAUUUGAUUUAAGAAAUGAUCACCACCUUCUCACUGUCGGGUGGCUUUUGAUAGCCCAUCUUGGUAUAGGAGAGCAGUACCGAGUAGAAGCAGGCCAUGCUCGAGCCAAGCUGCGUGUUGAAGAUAAGAAGGAAAGGGAGAGGUGCUGCUUUUUGGGAAGUACAUGUGGAGAUAUCUUUUGUGUUUGAGGAGCCUUUAAUGAGGCCUUAUGGAUGUUAUCGAACAACUGGGGAUGCUGUUGGUUCAAGUGUUGCUUGACUAACUUCAUUGGUUGUAGAAAUGUGAUCUUUAGACAAAUAUGCACUAGGAAAAGUUUUUGGUUCAACAACAAAAAAAUUGUUAACAUGGAGGGUAUUGAAGAUAUACUUUGGAUUUUGAUGAAGACUUUUGGACAUSAUAGAGCGAAGUGAUUCUUUUGUUAUAUUUUUUGUUGUUUUUUGGACCAUCCAUUAUGGAUCUAUGACCUGAAAGUGACAGUUGCAUAUAUAAACAUUUUUAUGAUA
Molecule: long non-coding RNA, 1171 nt
Organism: Nelumbo nucifera (sacred lotus)
Lineage: Eukaryota; Viridiplantae; Streptophyta; Magnoliopsida; Proteales; Nelumbonaceae
Source: RefSeq, a predicted model, not a curated record